UGCAGUCGAGCGAAUGAUGAGGAGCUUGCUCCUCUGAUUUAGCGGCGGACGGGUGAGUAACACGUGGGUAAUCUGCCUGUAAGACGGGGAUAACUCCGGGAAACCGGGGCUAAUACCGGAUAAUAAGAGAAGAAGCAUUUCUUCUUUUUGAAAGUCGGUUUCGGCUGACACUUACAGAUGAGCCCGCGGCGCAUUAGCUAGUUGGUGAGGUAACGGCUCACCAAGGCGACGAUGCGUAGCCGACCUGAGAGGGUGAUCGGCCACACUGGGACUGAGACACGGCCCAGACACCUACGGGAGGCAGCAGUAGGGAAUCUUCGGCAAUGGGCGAAAGCCUGACCGAGCAACGCCGCGUGAGCGAUGAAGGCCUUCGGGUCGUAAAGCUCUGUUGUUAGAGAAGAACAAGUACGAGAGUAACUGCUCGUACCUUGACGGUACCUAACCAGAAAGCCGCGGCUAACUACGUGCCAGCAGCCGCGGUAAUACGUAGGUGGCAAGCGUUAUCCGGAAUUAUUGGGCGUAAAGCGCGCGCAGGCGGUCUCUUAAGUCUGAUGAGAAAGCCCACGGCUCAACCGUGGAGGGUCAUUGGAAACUGGGAGACUUGAGUGCAGGAGAGAAAAGUGGAAUUCCACGUGUAGCGGUGAAAUGCGUAGAGAUGUGGAGGAACACCAGUGGCGAAGGCGGCUUUUUGGCCUGUAACUGA
RNAcentral lists this ribosomal RNA (703 nucleotides) under uncultured Bacillus sp. Its description in RNAcentral is "bacterial SSU rRNA". It matches the Rfam family "Bacterial small subunit ribosomal RNA", at positions 56 to 743 of the family's 1533-position model. Lineage: Bacteria; Bacillati; Bacillota; Bacilli; Caryophanales; Bacillaceae. The record is from RNAcentral.